CAGCAGCCGCGGUAAUACGUAGGUGGCAAGCGUUGUCCGGAAUUAUUGGGCGUAAAGGGCUCGCAGGCGGUUUCUUAAGUCUGAUGUGAAAGCCCCCGGCUCAACCGGGGAGGGUCAUUGGAAACUGGGAAACUUGAGUGCAGAAGAGGAGAGUGGAAUUCCACGUGUAGCGGUGAAAUGCGUAGAGAUGUGGAGGAACACCAGUGGCGAAGGCGACUCUCUGGUCUGUAACUGACGCUGAGGAGCGAAAGCGUGGGGAGCGAACAGGAUUAGAUACCCGCGUAGUCCCUGUCUCUUAUAA
Molecule: ribosomal RNA, 301 nt
Filed under: uncultured bacterium
Lineage: Bacteria
Description: partial 16S ribosomal RNA
Rfam family: Bacterial small subunit ribosomal RNA
Source: RNAcentral